CUUUCCCUCUUUCUUCCUGCCUAACACAUGCAAGUCGAGCGGAUGAAGGGAGCUUGCUCCUGGAUUCAGCGGCGGACGGGUGAGUAAUGCCUAGGAAUCUGCCUGGUAGUGGGGGAUAACGUCCGGAAACGGGCGCUAAUACCGCAUACGUCCUGAGGGAGAAAGUGGGGGAUCUUCGGACCUCACGCUAUCAGAUGAGCCUAGGUCGGAUUAGCUAGUUGGUGGGGUAAAGGCCUACCAAGGCGACGAUCCGUAACUGGUCUGAGAGGAUGAUCAGUCACACUGGAACUGAGACACGGUCCAGACUCCUACGGGAGGCAGCAGUGGGGAAUAUUGGACAAUGGGCGAAAGCCUGAUCCAGCCAUGCCGCGUGUGUGAAGAAGGUCUUCGGAUUGUAAAGCACUUUAAGUUGGGAGGAAGGGCAGUAAGUUAAUACCUUGCUGUUUUGACGUUACCAACAGAAUAAGCACCGGCUAACUUCGUG
This 484-nucleotide ribosomal RNA is filed under the name uncultured bacterium. RNAcentral's name for it is "partial 16S ribosomal RNA". It matches the Rfam family "Bacterial small subunit ribosomal RNA", at positions 36 to 507 of the family's 1533-position model. The record is from RNAcentral.